AACGUAGGACGCAAGCGUUAUCCGGAGUUACUGGGCGUAAAGCGCGGGCAGGCGGUCUGUCAAGUGGGAUGUGAAAGCGCCCGGCUAAACCGGGCGAGGCCAUUCCAGACUGAUGGACUGGAGGGCAGUAGAGGUAGGCGGAAUUCCGGGUGGAGUGGUGAAAUGCGUAGAGAUCCGGAGGAACACCAGAGGCGAAGGCGGCCUACUGGGCUGCACCUGACGCUGAGCCGCGAAAGCCAGGGGAGCGAACGGG
Molecule: unclassified non-coding RNA, 253 nt
Filed under: uncultured Anaerolineae bacterium
Lineage: Bacteria; Bacillati; Chloroflexota; Anaerolineae
Description: contains 16S-23S intergenic spacer region
Rfam family: Bacterial small subunit ribosomal RNA
Source: RNAcentral